Molecule: ribosomal RNA, 493 nt
Filed under: uncultured bacterium
Lineage: Bacteria
Description: bacterial SSU rRNA
Rfam family: Bacterial small subunit ribosomal RNA
Source: RNAcentral
GAUGAACGCUGGCGGCGUGCCUAACACAUGCAAGUCGAACGGACUUACAUUGAAGCCUAGCGAUAUGUAAGUUAGUGGCGGACGGGUGAGUAACGCGUGAGUAACCUGCCCUAGAGUGGGGGACAACAGUUGGAAACGACUGCUAAUACCGCAUAAGCCCACGGUACCGCAUGGUACUGAGGGAAAAGGAUUUAUUCGCUUUAGGAUGGACUCGCGUCCAAUUGGAGCGGCCGAUGCCCGAUUAGCUAGUUGGUGAGGUAAAGGCUCACCAAGUCGACGAUCGGUAGCCGGACUGAGAGGUUGAACGGCCACAUUGGAACUGAGAAACGGUCCAGACUCCUACGGGAGGCAGCAGUGGGGAAUAUUGGGCAAUGGGCGAAAGCCUGACCCAGCGACGCCGCGUGAGGGAAGAAGGUCUUCGGAUUGUAAACCUUAGUUAGCAGGGAAGAAGAAAGUGACGGUACCUGCAGAGAAAGCCACGGCUAACUACGUG